RNAcentral lists this ribosomal RNA (253 nucleotides) under uncultured bacterium. Its description in RNAcentral is "partial 16S ribosomal RNA". It matches the Rfam family "Bacterial small subunit ribosomal RNA", at positions 524 to 776 of the family's 1533-position model. The record is from RNAcentral.
UACGGAGGAUGCAAGCGUUAUCCGGAAUGAUUGGGCGUAAAGCGUCCGUAGGUGGCUGUGUAAGUCUAUUGUCAAAGCGUCAUGCUUAACAUGAUAAGGGCGGUAGAAACUACACAGCUAGAGUGCAUUCGGGGCAGAGGGAAUUCCUGGUGUAGCGGUGAAAUGCGUAGAGAUCAGGAAGAACACCGGUGGCGAAAGCGCUCUGCUAGGCUGCAACUGACACUGAGGGACGAAAGCUAGGGGAGCGAAUGGG